Molecule: long non-coding RNA, 1700 nt
Organism: Aedes albopictus (Asian tiger mosquito)
Lineage: Eukaryota; Metazoa; Arthropoda; Insecta; Diptera; Culicidae
Exons: 2
Source: RefSeq, a predicted model, not a curated record
AUGCCUCUAAAAAUUCUUCAAAUCAUUUAGGAAUUCCUUCACGAAGUACUUCAAGAACUCCACCAGGAAUUACUUCAGGAAUAUCUUCAGGACUUCCCCCUGAAAUUUCUCCAGGUCUGCUUCCUGAAAUUCCCCCAAGAAUUUCUAAAGGAUUUCUUUUAGAAAUUUCUCCAAAGAAUUCCUCCAGGAAAGCCUUUUGGAAUUCUUCUCGGAAACACUCCAGCAAAUUACUACAAGAAUUAUCCAGAAGCUACUCUAGAAAUAACUCUUCCUCAAGAAAUUCUAUCAAGCAUUCCUUCAGAUAGUACUCCAGCAAUUCCUUUAGAAAUAACUUGAGAAAUUUCUACCGGAAUUAUCUCAGGUACAGGAAUUUCUUAAAGAAUUAGUUCAUGGAUUCCUCUAAGAAGCACUUCAGAAAUUUUUCAAGGAAUAACUCCAGGAAUUCCGUUAGAAUUCACUCCAUGAAUUUCUCUAAGAAUUCCUCCAGGGAUUCCUCCAGAGAUUCCUUCGGGGAUUACUCACUGGAAGAAUCCCUGCAGGGUUUCUUUAAGGAAUCCUUGGAGGAUGUACUUCUGUAUUUCUGAAGAAAUAGCUAGAAGAAGUAUUUCUGGAGGAAAACUUUGAGGAAUACUGUAACAUUUUCUGGUAGAAUUUCUGGAGGAUUUUCUUGGAGAAAUUCCUGGGAAAAUAUUGGAAAAUUUUUAGGAGAAAAUCCUCGAGGAGCUCUUGGUGGAAAUUCUCAAUAAAUUCUUCAAAGAAUUACUGGUGCAAUUCUUGGAGAAAUCUCUUUGAGGAAUUUCUUGAAGAAAUCCUGAAAGAACUCUAGGAGGAAAUCCUGGAAGAGUUUUUGGAUUAUUUUUUACAGGAAUUACUGAAAGAUUUCUUGGUAUAAAGGCUAAAGAAAUUUUCGAGGAUUUAUUGGGAUAUUUUUGGAGAAAUUUAGGAAAAAAAUUCUGGAGAUGUCCCUGAAAUGAUUUCUGGGGGAAUUUCUAGAAGAAUCUUUGAAGAAAUCUCUCGAGUAAAUUUUUAAGAAAUUUCUGAAGCAUGUACAAAUUUCUGGAGGUGUUCGUGGAGAAAUUCCAAGAGAAAUUUUAGGAGGUACAGUUAGAGAAAUUAUAGGAGGAAUACUUGCAGUAAUUUCUGAAAGAGUUUUUGGAGUAACUUCUUUAACCGUAGUGUGGCCAGCAAAAAAAACACCCGUAGAAGGCCGGCAGGGUACCCGGGUACCCACGCAAUGGAAAUGAUCAUAUCUCAGCGAUUUUUCCACCGAUUUUAAAAGUUUUUGUCUCAUUCAACUCAGAAACUCAUUAUCUAUCGAGAUCGUAUUUGGUUAGACCGGUCCGAUCACCAUAGGUACCGGAAAGUCCGGAUUUCCGGAUCCGUGUUUUUAUACAAUAGAAUAUACGGGAUUUUCGGUAGGUUAGUAGCAAUUUCGGUACCAAGCAUCGUAAAAUUGCUUUGGCAUAUUGUAUCUGACCGGCAGGGAAUCAUAAAACGUGUUGACUUUGAAACUGUGAUUUCGGAACACGCUUCCCGUGAGGCCAUGGUUGACCAUAAACACUUUAAGGUAUCCUAGCCUUAACAAUGUGGGUUUCAAUAUGGUAUAAGGACAUGCUCCCAAAAAUAUGGAUUUUCCGAAAACCACGGUGAUUAGAUCGGUCUAACCAAAUAUUUUCCCGAUAGAUGAUGAGUUUCUGAAU